Long non-coding RNA from Homo sapiens (human), 707 nucleotides. Ensembl annotates it as surfactant associated 1, lncRNA. Its record names the gene SFTA1P. Lineage: Eukaryota; Metazoa; Chordata; Mammalia; Primates; Hominidae. The record is from Ensembl.
AAGCAAACCCAACCCUCUGAGCCUGUGGUUUCCGCAAGUACUGGGGUUAGAGUCAUGAGGGAAGUGUGGGAAAAUGUGGAGUGUCAGUCAAGAGGCAACACUAGGAGGCAAGGAAUCUGCAUUUCUUUCAGACCUUGGCAGAGAGCGCCCUGGGAAAUGCGGAUAUAGAAGGUCAGGAGAACAUCUCUCCUGGUUAUACAGCAUUCCAGGACUCCUCAUCUGUUUUUAAGAGGGAAAUCUGAGUUUUCAAGGAAAGCCGAAUACAGUUGCCAAGUUGCCAGUCAAAGAAACAAUGUCAACACCUGCUCAUAGAGAUGGAAUUCCUAACCCGGAAUAUUGCCCUUGAAUUACAACGAGAAAAAGAACACUUCUUAUUCCUGUAGCACCUCUUCAAGUGAGAUGGCAGACCACCUCAGGAUGGAAAUGUAUUUCUUCAUCCCCCUCUCUACUUCCCUGUGACCUCCUGCAAAUAAGGGAGAGACAAAGAGAAGAGCAGAAGAACAGAAGAAUGGAGUGGCAAAGAGAAGAGAAGGAGUGACUGAACAUUGACAAGACUUUGGUUGGGGAUGGUCAGAGAGGAGAUUAGCUGCUAGACGGCCACACUGCGGAGAAAGAUCAUUUUCCCACUCCAUCCCCCUUCCAGCUCCCCAUCCAUCUCACCAAGAGCCAGCUCCACCACUCAAUAAAACCUUACAUUCAUCUUUCAA